GAUGAACGCUAGCUACAGGCUUAACACAUGCAAGUCGAGGGGAAACGACAUUGAAGCUUGCUUCGAUGGUCGUCGACCGGCGCACGGGUGAGUAACGCGUAUCCAACCUGCCUCUGACCAAGGGAUAACCCGUCGAAAGUCGGCCUAAUACCUUAUGCAGUCGUCGGAAGUCAUCUGAUGACGACGAAAGAUUUCAUCGGUGAGAGAUGGGGAUGCGUCUGAUUAGCUUGUUGGCGGGGUAACGGCCCACCAAGGCAACGAUCAGUAGGGGUUCUGAGAGGAAGGUCCCCCACAUUGGAACUGAGACACGGUCCAAACUCCUACGGGAGGCAGCAGUGGGGAAUAUUGGUCAAUGGGCGAGAGCCUGAACCAGCCAAGUAGCGUGCAGGAUGACGGCCCUAUGGGUUGUAAACUGCUUUUAUGCGGGGAUAAAGUGAGGGACGUGUCCUUCAUUGCAGGUACCGCAUGAAUAAGGACCGGCUAAUUCCGUG
Molecule: ribosomal RNA, 491 nt
Filed under: uncultured bacterium
Lineage: Bacteria
Description: partial 16S ribosomal RNA
Rfam family: Bacterial small subunit ribosomal RNA
Source: RNAcentral